GAUGAACGCUGGCGGCGUGCCUAAUACAUGCAAGUCGAGCGAACAGAUGAGGAGCUUGCUCCUCUGACGUUAGCGGCGGACGGGUGAGUAACACGUGGAUAACCUACCUAUAAGACUGGGAUAACUUCGGGAAACCGGAGCUAAUACCGGAUAAUAUAUUGAACCGCAUGGUUCAAUAGUGAAAGACGGUUUUGCUGUCACUUAUAGAUGGAUCCGCGCCGCAUUAGCUAGUUGGUAAGGUAACGGCUUACCAAGGCAACGAUGCGUAGCCGACCUGAGAGGGUGAUCGGCCACACUGGAACUGAGACACGGUCCAGACUCCUACGGGAGGCAGCAGUAGGGAAUCUUCCGCAAUGGGCAAAGGCCUGACGGAGCAACGCCGCGUGAGUGAUGAAGGUCUUCGGAUCGUAAAACUCUGUUAUUAGGGAAGAACAAAUGUGUAAGUAACUAUGCACGUCUUGACGGUACCUAAUCAGAAAGCCACGGCUAACUACGUG
RNAcentral lists this ribosomal RNA (497 nucleotides) under uncultured bacterium. Its description in RNAcentral is "partial 16S ribosomal RNA". It matches the Rfam family "Bacterial small subunit ribosomal RNA", at positions 28 to 507 of the family's 1533-position model. The record is from RNAcentral.